CCUGAAUCAUGGUUCCCUGCUGGAAGUGAGAAGAGGAACUACAGCUCUAGAAUUUCUAUAAAGGAGGGCUAGGAGGGGGGUGAAAUCUCACUAGAAAGAUUCCUUGAGAUUUUCUACACAGACAAUCAUGUGAUCUGCAAAGAGAGGGCAGUUUUAUUCUCUCCUUUCAAAUCUGGUGGAACCUUUCCUGCCUUGGCAAUGGAGGAAGCAUGGAGAUGGAGCCUCCCUUUGCAGGAUUCCUGAGUGCAGAAGCCACAAAACAAAGAAACCACAAUCCUGCACCUCACCCCA
Molecule: long non-coding RNA, 291 nt
Organism: Marmota monax (woodchuck)
Lineage: Eukaryota; Metazoa; Chordata; Mammalia; Rodentia; Sciuridae
Exons: 3
Source: RefSeq, a predicted model, not a curated record